Pelobates cultripes (western spadefoot toad) is the source of this 248-nucleotide non-coding RNA. The record is from the annotation of a GenBank genome assembly. Lineage: Eukaryota; Metazoa; Chordata; Amphibia; Anura; Pelobatidae.
CAUACCAUUUGCAAAAGUCGACAACCCACGGUCAAGCAAAUGGGGUAUGUUCAGUCUUUUUUAGUAGCCACUUAGUCACAAACACUGGUCAAAAUUAGCGUUUAUAAUAGUUUUUUGCAUUUUUAACACACAAACACAUAUAAAUGCUAACUUUGGCCAAUGUUUGUGACAAAGUGGUGACUAAAAAAGACUGGACAUACCCCAUAUUGAAUACCCUGGGUUGUCUACAUUUAAAAAUAUAUGGUUUG